ACGGGAGGCAGCAGUCGGGAAUAUUGCGCAAUGGAGGAAACUCUGACGCAGUGACGCCGCGUAUAGGAAGAAGGUUUUCGGAUUGUAAACUAUUGUCAUUAGGGAAGAAAAAAGACUGUACCUAAAGAGGAAGCCCCGGCUAACUAUGUGCCAGCAGCCGCGGUAAUACAUAGGGGGCAAGCGUUAUCCGGAAUUAUUGGGUGUAAAGGGUGCGUAGACGGGAGUGCAAGUUAGUUGUGAAAUCCCUCGGCUUAACUGAGGAACUGCAACUAAAACUGUACUUCUUGAGUAUCGGAGAGGAAAGCGGAAUUCCUAGUGUAGCGGUGAAAUGCGUAGAUAUUAGGAGGAACACCAGUGGCGAAGGCGGCUUUCUGGACGAAAACUGACGUUGAGGCACGAAAGUGUGGGGAGCAAACAGGAUUAGAUACCCUGGUA
Molecule: ribosomal RNA, 435 nt
Filed under: uncultured Oscillospiraceae bacterium
Lineage: Bacteria; Bacillati; Bacillota; Clostridia; Eubacteriales; Oscillospiraceae
Description: bacterial SSU rRNA
Rfam family: Bacterial small subunit ribosomal RNA
Source: RNAcentral